Molecule: ribosomal RNA, 535 nt
Filed under: Alternaria alternata
Lineage: Eukaryota; Fungi; Ascomycota; Dothideomycetes; Pleosporales; Pleosporaceae
Description: eukaryotic LSU rRNA
Rfam family: 5.8S ribosomal RNA (bases 158-311)
Source: RNAcentral
UGAAGGCGGGCUGGAACCUCUCGGGGUUACAGCCUUGCUGAAUUAUUCACCCUUGUCUUUUGCGUACUUCUUGUUUCCUUGGUGGGUUCGCCCACCACUAGGACAAACAUAAACCUUUUGUAAUUGCAAUCAGCGUCAGUAACAAAUUAAUAAUUACAACUUUCAACAACGGAUCUCUUGGUUCUGGCAUCGAUGAAGAACGCAGCGAAAUGCGAUAAGUAGUGUGAAUUGCAGAAUUCAGUGAAUCAUCGAAUCUUUGAACGCACAUUGCGCCCUUUGGUAUUCCAAAGGGCAUGCCUGUUCGAGCGUCAUUUGUACCCUCAAGCUUUGCUUGGUGUUGGGCGUCUUGUCUCUAGCUUUGCUGGAGACUCGCCUUAAAGUAAUUGGCAGCCGGCCUACUGGUUUCGGAGCGCAGCACAAGUCGCACUCUCUAUCAGCAAAGGUCUAGCAUCCAUUAAGCCUUUUUUUCAACUUUUGACCUCGGAUCAGGUAGGGAUACCCGCUGAACUUAAGCAUAUCAUAAGUGGGGAGGAAA